RNAcentral lists this ribosomal RNA (254 nucleotides) under uncultured bacterium. Its description in RNAcentral is "partial 16S ribosomal RNA". It matches the Rfam family "Bacterial small subunit ribosomal RNA", at positions 524 to 776 of the family's 1533-position model. The record is from RNAcentral.
UACGGGGGGAGCAAGCGUUGUUCGGAUUUACUGGGCGUAAAGGGCGCGUAGGCGGCCACCGCAAGUCGACUGUGAAAUCUCCGGGCUUAACCCGGAAAGGUCAGCCGAUACUGCGGGGCUAGAGUGCAGAAGGGGCAACUGGAAUUCUCGGUGUAGCGGUGAAAUGCGUAGAUAUCUGGAGGAAUACCGGUGGCGAAGGCGGCAUCCUGGACCGGCAUUGACGCUGAUGAGCGAAAGCUAGGGGAGCAAACGGG